Molecule: ribosomal RNA, 468 nt
Filed under: uncultured bacterium
Lineage: Bacteria
Description: partial 16S ribosomal RNA
Rfam family: Bacterial small subunit ribosomal RNA
Source: RNAcentral
GACGAACGCUGGCGGCGUGCUUAACACAUGCAAGUCGAACGGUAAGGCCCUGCUUUUGUGGGGUGCUCGAGUGGCGAACGGGUGAUUAACACGUGAGUAACCUGCCCUUGACUUUGGGAUAACUUCAGGAAACUGGGGCUAAUACCGGAUAGGAGCUCCUGCUGCAUGGUGGGGGUUGGAAAGUUUCGGCGGUUGGGGAUGGACUCGCGGCUUAUCAGCUUGUUGGUGGGGUAGUGGCUUACCAAGGCUUUGACGGGUAGCCGGCCUGAGAGGGUGACCGGCCACAUUGGGACUGAGAUACGGCCCAGACUCCUACGGGAGGCAGCAGUGGGGAAUAUUGCACAAUGGGCGGAAGCCUGAUGCAGCAACGCCGCGUGCGGGAUGACGGCCUUCGGGUUGUAAACCGAUUUCGCCUGUGACGAAGCGUGAGUGACGGUAAUGGGUAAAGAAGCACCGGCUAACUACGUG